AGAGUUUGAUCCUGGCUCAGAACGAACGCUGGCGGCGUGGAUAAGACAUGCAAGUCGAGCGAGAUUUUUCGUUGUAGCAAUACGAUGGAAAGUCUAGCGGCGAACGGGUGCUUAACACGUGGGCAACCUGCCAUGAAGUGGGGGAUAGCUCGCCGAAAGGCGAAUUAAUACCGCAUGUGAUUAGAGAGGACAUCCUUUCGAAAUUAAAGUCGGGGCAACCUGACGCUUCUUGUGGGGCCCGCGGCCUAUCAGCUAGUUGGUGAGGUAACGGCUCACCAAGGCUUUGACGGGUAGCUGGUCUGAGAGGACGACCAGCCACACUGGGACUGAGACACGGCCCAGACACCUACGGGUGGCAGCAGUCGAGAAUUUUUGACAAUGGGGGAAACCCUGAUCGAGCGACGCCGCGUGGAGGAUGAAGGUCUUCGGAUUGUAAACUCCUGUCAUUUGGGAACAAGGUGCACACGUUAACUGCGUGUGCAUUGAUAGUACCAGAAGAGGAAGAGACGGCUAACUCUGUGCCAGCAGCCGCGGUAAUACAGAGGUCUCAAGCGUUGUUCGGAUUCAUUGGGCGUAAAGGGUGCGUAGGCGGCGCGGUAAGUCGGGUGUGAAAUCUCGGAGCUUAACUCCGAAACUGCAUUCGAUACUGCCGUGCUUGAGGACUGGAGAGGAGACUGGAAUUUACGGUGUAGCGGUGAAAUGCGUAGAUAUCGUAAGGAAGACCAGUGGCGAAGACGGGUCUCUGGACAGUUCCUGACGCUGAGGCACGAAGGCCAGGGGAGCAAACGGGAUUAGAUACCCUAGUAGUCC
This 810-nucleotide ribosomal RNA is filed under the name uncultured bacterium. Its description in RNAcentral is "bacterial SSU rRNA". It matches the Rfam family "Bacterial small subunit ribosomal RNA", at positions 8 to 796 of the family's 1533-position model. The record is from RNAcentral.